UGAGAACUUAAACAUGGUAAUGUGCACAUAAAUUGAUUUGGGUCUCUAGGUCUGCCCUAAUGUCUUUCGGUUUUGAUUUGGGGCAUGGUUCCAUAGCAAAACA
Molecule: small nucleolar RNA, 103 nt
Organism: Rhododendron vialii
Lineage: Eukaryota; Viridiplantae; Streptophyta; Magnoliopsida; Ericales; Ericaceae
Product: small nucleolar RNA snoR100
Exons: 1
Source: RefSeq, a predicted model, not a curated record